GAAUGUGAGGGUGAUCUGGCUGUGACAUCUGUCACCCAUGACCACCAGGAUUGAUUGGCUUGAUCUGGCUGUGGUAGGGUGGUAAUCCUCUUCUCCUUCCGUCACCACUUCUAAUGUAUGUCCCUCCCUGAAGCUGUACACUGGAUUGAAGAGGACGUCAUCCCGUGGAUAAAGGAGGACCAUCGUCUGGUCAAGGGUCCAAGUAGCUGUACUCCCUCUAGAACCCAAACAAACUCCAAGAAUAAGAAAGAUGCCCAUUUUAGGGGGGGAGUAAGAGGUACUUGGAUAAACGCAGGCCUCCCAAUUGCAAAGCAAUUG
Molecule: small nuclear RNA, 318 nt
Filed under: Castor canadensis (American beaver)
Lineage: Eukaryota; Metazoa; Chordata; Mammalia; Rodentia; Castoridae
Description: 7SK RNA (ENSCCNG00000017919.1)
Rfam family: 7SK RNA
About the family: 7SK was discovered as an abundant small nuclear RNA in the mid-70s but a possible function has only recently been suggested. Two independent studies have found that 7SK RNA binds the CDK9/cyclin T complex (known as elongation factor P-TEFb). P-TEFb activates transcription by phosphorylating the C-terminal domain of RNA polymerase II.
Source: Rfam by way of RNAcentral